This 394-nucleotide ribosomal RNA is filed under the name Haemophilus influenzae. Its description in RNAcentral is "bacterial SSU rRNA". It matches the Rfam family "Bacterial small subunit ribosomal RNA", at positions 1 to 389 of the family's 1533-position model. Lineage: Bacteria; Pseudomonadati; Pseudomonadota; Gammaproteobacteria; Pasteurellales; Pasteurellaceae. The record is from RNAcentral.
UUGAAUUGAAGAGUUUGAUCAUGGCUCAGAUUGAACGCUGGCGGCAGGCUUAACACAUGCAAGUCGAACGGUAGCAGGAGAAAGGUUGCUUUCUUGCUGACGAGUGGCGGACGGGUGAGUAAUGCUUGGGAAUCUGGCUUAUGGAGGGGGAUAACGACGGGAAACUGUCGCUAAUACCGCGUAUUAUCGGAAGAUGAAAGUGCGGGACUGAGAGGCCGCAUGCCAUAGGAUGAGCCCAAGUGGGAUUAGGUAGUUGGUGGGGUAAAUGCCUACCAAGCCUGCGAUCUCUAGCUGGUCUGAGAGGAUGACCAGCCACACUGGAACUGAGACACGGUCCAGACUCCUACGGGAGGCAGCAGUGGGGAAUAUUGCGCAAUGGGGGGAACCCUGACGC